UAGAUAUCACAAACCCAGUAUUUAUAAAUGUAAAUGUAUGUCUGUAUAUACAUAUGUACACAUGUCAUAUGUAUGCAAAUACCACCAAAUCUUUUUUGUGUGUAUAUGUAUGUAUUAUAUACAUGAAGAUAUACACAUUCACAUUCUUCCUUCCUUCCUUCCUCCCUCCCUCCCUCCCUCUCUCCCCCCUCUCUCUCUUUCUCUCUUUCUUUCUUUCUCUCUUUCUCUCUUUCUUUCUUUCUUUCUUUCUUUCUUUCUUUCUUUCUUUCUUUCUUUCUUUCUUUCUUUCUUUCUUUCUUUCUUUCUUUCUUUCUUUCUUUCUUUCUUUCUUUCUUUCUUUCUUUCUUUCUCUCUCUCUCUCUCUCUCUCUCCUCUUUCUCUCUCUCUCUCUCUUUCUUUCUUUCUUUCUUUCUUUCUUUCUUUCUUUCUUUCUUUCUUUCUUUCUUUCUUUCUUUCUUUCUUUCUUUCUUUCUUUCUUUCUUUCUUUCUUUCUUUCUUUCUUUCUUUCUUUCUUUCUUUCUUUCUUUCUUUCUUUCUUCCUUUCUUCCUUUCUUCCUUUCUUCCUUUCUUCCUUUCUUCCUCUGGAGUAAAGAAAUCUUAGCUGUAGUAGAGGACCUUUAUUC
Molecule: long non-coding RNA, 623 nt
Filed under: Monodelphis domestica (gray short-tailed opossum)
Lineage: Eukaryota; Metazoa; Chordata; Mammalia; Didelphimorphia; Didelphidae
Description: lncRNA (ENSMODG00000045207.1)
Source: RNAcentral